GAGAGUGCGCCUCAGCUGUGAGGGAUGGACUUCCUUCUGAGCUUUCUGGUUGUCGUCUGUGGGGAUCGAUGAGUCCCAGCGACUGCUCCUCUCGUGGCUAACACUAAUUCACCGAGGAGCUAUACAUACUCCUUCCCUUCUUCCCUCCAUGCUGGGGGUGCCUACAGGAGGCAAUCAGGAGUCUUUAUUGUGUAUCUUGUGGGGGUUGGGGGGAGGCCUGGAGACAGCACUGUGACCUCCAAGUGACCACUGGGCCAAGCUCCAGGACAACAGGCUUCUCUUCAAGCCUAGGGAGCGCCUCCCUCCAGUAGCAGUGUGCGGUCAUUUACUGGACGUCUGGAAUUCUCAGAAUCACCCAGCCAUCACCAUCGCAAUACACGGCGUUUAUUGAGUGCUUACUUUGCACCAGGUACCAAGGAUUUUCCAGUUAUUUUCUCAUUUGAUCCUCAUAACAACCCAAUUAGAUAAGUACCAUUAUUAUCUCUAUUACCAAUGAAGAAAUUGUGGCUGAAGAUCCAGAGCCACUCUGAGGUUUCCCCCUUUUUUUUUUUUUUUUUUUUUUUGAGGC
RNAcentral lists this long non-coding RNA (568 nucleotides) under Rhinopithecus bieti (black snub-nosed monkey). RNAcentral describes it as "lncRNA (ENSRBIG00000046106.1)". Lineage: Eukaryota; Metazoa; Chordata; Mammalia; Primates; Cercopithecidae. The record is from RNAcentral.